This 1151-nucleotide ribosomal RNA is filed under the name uncultured Chitinivibrionia bacterium. RNAcentral's name for it is "bacterial SSU rRNA". It matches the Rfam family "Bacterial small subunit ribosomal RNA", at positions 45 to 1216 of the family's 1533-position model. The record is from RNAcentral. Lineage: Bacteria; Pseudomonadati; Fibrobacterota; Chitinivibrionia.
UGCUUAAUACAUGCAAGCCGAGCGGAAGUAGUAAUACUUUAGCGGCGCACGGGUGAGUAACACGUAAAUAACCUGCCUCAAAGCUUGGGAUAACUGUUCUAACGGACUGCUAAUACCGGAUGUGGCGUAUAGUUGGCAUCUACUAUACGUUAAAGCAGCGAUGCGCUUUGAGAUGGAUUUGCGGACUAUUAGCUAGUUGGUAAGGUAGUGGCUUACCAAGGCUUUGAUAGUUAGCCGGCCUGAGAGGGUGAACGGCCACAAUGGGACUGAGACACGGCCCAUACUCCUACGGGAGGCAGCAGUAGGGAAUAUUGCGCAAUGGAUGAAAGUCUGACGCAGCAACUCCGCGUGAUGGACGACGGUCUUCGGAUUGUAAACAUCUUUUAUUUGUGAAGAAAAAAUUAAAAUUGACGGUAGCAAAUGAAUAAGCUCCGGCUAAAUAUGUGCCAGCAGCCGCGGUAAUACAUAUGGAGCGAGCGUUACUCGGAAUCACUGGGCGUAAAGGGUGCGUAGGCGGUUUAAUAAGUCAUAGUUUUAACUUUGGGGCUUAACCUCGAUUGUGAUUGUGAUACUGUUUAACUUGAAUACUUUAGAGGUAAACGGAAUUUUCGGUGUAGCGGUGGAAUGCGCAGAUAUCGGAAAGAACACCGAUGGCGAAGGCAGUUUGCCGGUGAGAUAUUGACGCUGAGGCACGAGAGCGUGGGUAGCAAACAGGAUUAGAUACCCUGGUAGUCCACGCCGUAAACGAUGGACAUUAGUCGUUGGGCUGCAAGGCUCAGUGGCGUAGAUAACUUGUUAAAUGUCCCGCCUGGGUAGUACGUCCGCAAGGAUGAAACCCAAAGGAAUUGACGGGGACCCGCACAAGCGGUGGAGCAUGUGCUUUAAUUCGAUGCAACGCGAAGAACCUUACCCGGUCUUGACAUAGUUCUGCUCGUCCCAGAGAUGGGAUUUUCAGCAAUGACAGGACAUACAGAUGCUGCAUGGUUGUCGUCAGCUCGUGUCGUGAGAUGUUGGGUUAAGUCCCGCAACGAGCGCAACCCUUGCCGAUAGUUGCCAACAGGUAAUGCUGGGGACUCUAUUGGGACUGCCUUCGCAAGGAGGAGGAAGGUGGGGAUGACGUCAAAUCAUCAUGGCUCUUACGACCGGGGCUA